This is a long non-coding RNA of Bos taurus (domestic cattle), 395 nucleotides long. The record is from Ensembl. Lineage: Eukaryota; Metazoa; Chordata; Mammalia; Artiodactyla; Bovidae.
UGCAGUUCUAGGGGACACGGUAGCCCUCCCCGCUUUCUGUGUUCUCGUGUGACAGUUUAGUAGAAAUGUGCUCAGCUUGCUGCAUGUCCGUUUCACCUCAGAAAAGCUGUCGGGAGACCUCCUUGUGUCCUUGGGGCGAAGGUACAACCUGCGGCUGCCUACGAUGCAUUUAAAAAAAAUCCUGUCUGGGAGCUUCCCUGAAAGAAUCCACCUGCCCGUGCAGGAGACAUGAGUUGGAUCCCUGGUUCAUGGAGCAACUCAGCUCAUGUGCCAAAGCCACUGAGCCCACAGACGGCAGAGCCCGUGCUCCGCAGCAAGAGAAGCCGCUGCAGCGAGCAGCCGGGCACCACAAGAGGAGGACCCUGCUCCCCGCAACCAGAGGAAAGCCUGGGCAG